GACGAACGCUGGCGGCGUGCUUAACACAUGCAAGUCGAGCGGUAAGGCCCUUUCGGGGGUACACGAGCGGCGAACGGGUGAGUAACACGUGGGUGACCUGCCCUCAGCUCUGGGAUAAGCCUGGGAAGGCUGGGGUCUAAUACUGGAUAUGACUCCACGGUGCAUGUCGUGGGGUGGAAAGCCUUGUGCGGCUGAGGAUGGGCCCGCGGCCUAUCAGCUUGUUGGUGGGGUGAUGGCCUACCAAGGCGACGACGGGUAGCCGGCCUGAGAGGGCGACCGGCCACACUGGGACUGAGACACGGCCCAGACUCCUACGGGAGGCAGCAGUGGGGAAUCUUGCGCAAUGGGCGAAAGCCUGACGCAGCGACGCCGCGUGAGGGAUGACGGCCU
Molecule: ribosomal RNA, 390 nt
Filed under: uncultured bacterium
Lineage: Bacteria
Description: bacterial SSU rRNA
Rfam family: Bacterial small subunit ribosomal RNA
Source: RNAcentral